UACGGAGGAUGCGAGCGUUAUCUGGAUUUAUUGGGUUUAAAGGGUGCGUAGGCGGACGCUUAAGUCAGCGGUAAAAUUGCGGGGCUCAACCUCGUCGAGCCGUUGAAACUGGGUGUCUUGAGUGGGCGAGAAGUACGCGGAAUGCGUGGUGUAGCGGUGAAAUGCAUAGAUAUCACGCAGAACUCCGAUUGCGAAGGCAGCGUACCGGCGCCCAACUGACGCUGAAGCACGAAGGCGUGGGUAUCGAACAGG
This 252-nucleotide ribosomal RNA is filed under the name uncultured bacterium. RNAcentral describes it as "partial 16S ribosomal RNA". It matches the Rfam family "Bacterial small subunit ribosomal RNA", at positions 524 to 776 of the family's 1533-position model. The record is from RNAcentral.